Xenopus laevis (African clawed frog) is the source of this 393-nucleotide non-coding RNA. Lineage: Eukaryota; Metazoa; Chordata; Amphibia; Anura; Pipidae. The record is from the annotation of a RefSeq genome assembly.
AUGCAGGAGCACCUCUCCUACACAGCAAUGAGUUGUCUCUUGUUUAUUCUUCUUCUACUGGGUUUUAAAACAUUAUAUGGCCAAGUGUUUCAGCCUCAGCACAUCAAUGUAUUAGAAGGACACAAAGUCAUUAUCCCAUGUCACCAGAAUGCCACCAGCAAGGACACCAUGUUAUGGUACAUACAGCCUGAGAAUGGUGCACUACAGCUUCUUGCAAGUGGGUAUGAUGGCACAAAGGAGGCUGGAACAUUUAAUAUGAUAUUGAAGCCGGAUGAAAGAUUCACCAGCCUUGAGAAAAGCAAAGUCGAGCCCAGAGAUGCUGCCAAAUAUUACUGUGCUGUAAGAGACACAGUGUUAGCAACCGCUAGAGCAGCAUUUCAGAAACCCAAAUAG